RNAcentral lists this unclassified non-coding RNA (250 nucleotides) under plant metagenome. RNAcentral's name for it is "partial contains small subunit ribosomal RNA, internal transcribed spacer 1, and 5.8S ribosomal RNA". The record is from RNAcentral.
GUAGGUGAACCUGCGGAAGGAUCAUUACUAGAGCAAAGGAUAGACAGCACCCGCGGAGCUCGCUCCCGGGGCUACCCUACUCCGGUAGGGUUUAGAGUCGUCGGGCCUCUCGCAGAAGCUCGGUCCUGAACUCCACCCUUGAAUAAACUACCUUUGUUGCUUUGGCGGGCCCGUCUUUGACCGGACCGUUGGGGGGUGCAUACCCUCUGAUCAGCGCCCGCCAGUAGCCCCCAUGAAAUCGUCGAAUGGU